GAAAGAAAGAAAGAAAAAAAGAAAGGAGUCUCUUGUCUUUAAAUGAAGUUAAUACAUGGAAUUAACUGAUUUUUCAUCUAAAUAACUGAAGUAUUCACAUAUGUGAUCAAUACAAGGAUUGAAUUUUCACAACUAUUUUAAAUUCUAACUAAAGCAAUAAAAAUCUAGUAAUAAGCACACAAGUCAGAAACAAAUAUUCAAAAAAUAUGCUCAUAGCAUAAAACAUCACCUUAUAAAAUAUAAGAAAAUUAAAUUUAAAAAUGUAUAUAAUUUUUAAAGGGGAUAUAUAUGAUUAAUUUUGUUAUAUCAAGUUAAGGACUUGCUUUAAAUUUAUAGUUUUCAUGCAGAAACUAUUACAGAUACCUCAUAUUCUAGAAUGUUUCCAAUUUAUAGUUGAAUUCACUUGUCCUUUAAUUUGUCUUAUUUUAUUUUUUUGAAGAAUUGCAUUUAUUUCUUUAUAAAAUUUCUGAGCAGUUAUUGUUACAUGCAAAUCCUGGAUAUUAAUGUUCAUUUCACUCUUGUGUUCAUAGUAAAUAGAUGUUCCAUCUAUUUCAGUAUUGUUAUUUUAACAUGUAGUUUGUACUACUGAUUCUGAAUCUCACCAUGCUGCUCGCUGGGUUUUCAAACUCAUCACAGAAGUCAUCCUUCCUUCCAGCAUCUUGUGAAGCUCACAACAGACACAGAAGACCACUCGCUGCUGAUGGUAUUGUAAAACUACCUGGUCUCUGACUUUAUUUUUUGGAUUUUGAUAAUCUGUGUAUAAAAUUCAAUUAGAAAUUUAUAUUUCUCAUGUACUAUUGGUUUUCUGAGUUAGGAUUAGAUUUGAUCAUACUCAUAAUUCCUUGUUUUCUAUACAUGAGAUUAUAUCUUUUACAAAAUUUACAAAAUUAUUUUCCUUCCCUUAUGCAUCACAUACUUUAGAAGCAUAAUGCCUAAUAUUAUAUUCUUUUAUAAUUUUCCCUAGGAUGCCAUCAUUUUUUUUCUUCAUCUUCUCUCAGAUUCACCUCAAGUGCAAAUUUCAUAUACACUAGGAUAAUUGUGAGUCUAUCUGACUAACUCCCACAUUAUCUAUCCCUUUCUCCACUACCACAAAUAGAAUAAAAUAAAAUAAAUGAAAAUCAAAAUAACAAUCCAAAGAUGCUAAGAUAAAAAUAUCAAAAUAAAAUGAACAGCAGCAAAAAAGUCUUCUGAUAUAGAAAAUGAAACAAAAAUGUCUGUUUUUAUGUUUUUCAGCUAUUCCUGUUGCUUUGUCCUGAUCUUGAAUGUGUUUGAUAUAAUCAGUGACAUUCUUUUUGAAUAGAUUGAUUUUUUCUUCCCUAUCAACAGACACUAAUUGCAAAUUGCUCCUUUGUUAGGGGUUGCACUUUGUCUCCUUUCCCUUCUCAUAGCUGGAAUUUUGUGUGGAUUUGACCUAUGCAGCUUUGUUUCUGCUGCCACAUUCUCUGGGAGUUCCUAUGUCAAUCAGGCCUGUUGUAUGGAAAGCAUUAUUUCUUAUGAGUAAUUCAACCCCCUCACACUUAUCUUUCUGUUUUUUCUUCCACAUAGAUCCAACAGUCUUGUGAAGAGUUUAAUGAAGACCCAUUCAACAGCUAGUGCUGCACUGAACUGAUUUAUGAGUAUAACAGUAUAUUGAGUCUUACUGUGCUGUUCACUGAGUUCUCAAAUCAUCCCUGAAACCAUGCCUCCUCUCAGCUUCCUGAGAAGUUCACAGUACAGAUGCAGACCAACACAUUCAGCUGAUGAUGUAAUGUGGACUUCUGAUUCUGAAUCUCACGAUUGCUGCUCACUGGGUUUUCAAAGCCAUCACACUAGCCAUCCUUCCUUCCAGCAUCUUGCGAAGCUCACAACAGACACAGAACAUGCUGAUGGAGCCUAGCAUGACUGCCCUCAAGAAACACAAAAAAAGAUGCUGGAAGUGUCAGAUGAAGAUAUUUCCACCCAUGCAAUGGACAUAGGAUAAAGUCCCCAGUGGUAGAAUUUGGAAAAGCUGGAAGAAGCUGAUGAGAAAGGCAACACUAUAGGAAGACCAGCAGUUUCACCUAACCUGGACCCCUGAGAUCUCUCAGACACUGAGCCACCAACCUGGCAGCAUACACCAGCUGAUAUGAGGCUCCUGACACAUAUACAUCAGAGCACUGCCUGGUCUGCACUCAGUUCCAGAAGAUGCACCUAGCCCUCAAGAGACUUGAGACCCCAGGGAGUGGAGAUGUCUGUUAGGAUGGGGGUUAUCUUUUGGAGAUGGGGAGGAGGUAUGGGAUGAGGGAGAGUCAAAGGACAGAAUGGGUGGGGUAUAAUGACAGGAGUGUAAGAAAAGAUUAUAGAAUAAUAAAAAAAGAUGACACUAUAGAUAGUAAAUAAAAUCAAGAAGUUUGUCCUAAUAUUUUUUAAUAUUGUUAUGUCUAGUGUUUAUGUGAAUGUUUCAAAGUAAUGAAGAGUUGAAUAAAUACAGUUCUGAAUGAUAUAAGAGACUAUCUCUGCUAGAGCAAUUCCGGUCAGUAAAGAUGCACUUUCUCAAAAAGCUGGAUAUAAUGGACAUCUCCAAAAAUGUUAUUUGAUGGUUAUUUCAGUUAUGAAAUCUCUUAUUUUACAGCAGGUUUUGAUUUUCAGUUCUAGGUUUGAGAUUGUUUUCAUAAUUGGUCCCUAAUCUACUCUUUAAUUGUAUGUACAGAGGCAACCAGAGAUAAUAUCAGUAUUUUUUUUUACUACAGAAUUGAUGCAAAGUAGACUUCAGAGUGCUCCAGACAAUAGCAAGGAGAAGAGUGUAAGCUGUUCCUCGGAGUAGGAGGAAUGCUCAGAAAAACUGCAGGAAACAUGAUCCUCCAGCUGAAGUCACUUCUCCUGCUGUCCCUGUCACAGUCUUGGACCAUGUAUCAUUUCCAAGGAAAAUGAUUUACUUCAGGAAUAAGUAUCUGACAAAACCAGGGUUGUGCUUCUCCUUGCACUUCUUGGGGAGUCUUGCUGUGCUGUUCACUCAGUUCUCAACUCAUUCCUGAAACCAUGCCUCCUCUCAGCUUCCUGAGAAGUUAACAGUACAGAUGCAGACCACCACGUUCAGCUGAUGGUACUGUAAAACAACUUUCUUUUCAACUUUCACUAUUAAGUUUUGAUUGCUUGUGUAUCUAUUUCAGUAGAAAAUGUAUGAACCAUUUCUGAUGACAAAUGAUUCUCUGAUCUAUGUGUAUAGAAUUAUGUCAUAAAUCACUUUAUUUUCUCCAUUUAGCAUAAUAAGAAAAGUAUUGUUUUACAUAGGCCAGAGACCUAUCUACUUUCAGAGUAUUGGACACUUACAAUAUGAGGUAUGUUUUUUAGCUCAUGAAGUUGACCACAAAUAUAUCAAAAUGUAGUUGAUUACUCUAAGAAUAUUUAUGGUGAUAUGACAAAAGUAUAUUUUGAUAACUUAUAUAUAUUAUAUUUUGCAGGGAUCAUCAUUAGUGAUAUUGAGGAAUUCUUUUUUUUUUCUGCAGUAGCAUAUAAGUAAACUUUUAGCCUCAUUAAGUGUAGUCAGCAACAAUGAAUCUCCGAAUUGAGCACCAGAUGGUUUUCUCCCAUUGUGAUGACACAAAUAAGUAAUAUCUUCAGCAGUUGGACAUUCCCUUCAGGUGGCAAAUAUUUAACCAUACCUUUGGUAAUUCUGUUUGAUGUUUCAAAGUAGAACUAUAAGACACUUGUAGCUAAUGACUCAACCAAAUAAUAAAUUGCUGGCAACAGAUAUAUCUAAGAUAUAAUUUCACAAUUUGAGAUCUGUAGUUGUGGUAGCAAUAUCUAUCUAAUAUAAUAUGAUACUAAUUCAAUCCUUUACAUACACACACAA
Molecule: long non-coding RNA, 3811 nt
Organism: Mastomys coucha (southern multimammate mouse)
Lineage: Eukaryota; Metazoa; Chordata; Mammalia; Rodentia; Muridae
Exons: 6
Source: RefSeq, a predicted model, not a curated record